UUAUGGCCAUAUCAUGUUGAAACACUAGUUCCUCUACAAACACCGAAGUUAAGAAACAUCAAGCCUGGUCAGUACCUAGAUGGGUAACCAUUUGUGAAUACAAAGUGCUGUAAG
Acanthosepion pharaonis is the source of this 114-nucleotide non-coding RNA. The record is from the annotation of a GenBank genome assembly. Lineage: Eukaryota; Metazoa; Mollusca; Cephalopoda; Sepiida; Sepiidae.